This 465-nucleotide ribosomal RNA is filed under the name Vreelandella stevensii. RNAcentral's name for it is "partial 16S ribosomal RNA". It matches the Rfam family "Bacterial small subunit ribosomal RNA", at positions 338 to 795 of the family's 1533-position model. Lineage: Bacteria; Pseudomonadati; Pseudomonadota; Gammaproteobacteria; Oceanospirillales; Halomonadaceae. The record is from RNAcentral.
CCUACGGGUGGCAGCAGUGGGGAAUAUUGGACAAUGGGGGCAACCCUGAUCCAGCCAUGCCGCGUGUGUGAAGAAGGCCCUCGGGUUGUAAAGCACUUUCAGUGAGGAAGGACGCCUGGUGGUUAAUACCCAUCAGGAAAGACAUCACUCACAGAAGAAGCACCGGCUAACUCCGUGCCAGCAGCCGCGGUAAUACGGAGGGUGCGAGCGUUAAUCGGAAUUACUGGGCGUAAAGCGCGCGUAGGUGGCUUGAUAAGCCGGUUGUGAAAGCCCCGGGCUCAACCUGGGAACGGCAUCCGGAACUGUCAAGCUAGAGUGCAGGAGAGGAAGGUAGAAUUCCCGGUGUAGCGGUGAAAUGCGUAGAGAUCGGGAGGAAUACCAGUGGCGAAGGCGGCCUUCUGGACUGACACUGACACUGAGGUGCGAAAGCGUGGGUAGCAAACAGGAUUAGAUACCCCUGUAGUC